GAAGAAGACUGGCGGCGUGCUUAACACAUGCAAGUCGAACGGAAAGGCCCUGCUUUUGUGGGGUGCUCGAGUGGCGAACGGGUGAGUAACACGUGAGUAACCUGCCCUUGACUUUGGGAUAACUUCAGGAAACUGGGGCUAAUACCGGAUAGGAGCUCCUGCUGCAUGGUGGGGGUUGGAAAGUUUCGGCGGUUGGGGAUGGACUCGCGGCUUAUCAGCUUGUUGGUGGGGUAGUGGCUUACCAAGGCUUUGACGGGUAGCCGGCCUGAGAGGGUGACCGGCCACAUUGGGACUGAGAUACGGCCCAGACUCCUACGGGAGGCAGCAGUGGGGAAUAUUGCACAAUGGGCGGAAGCCUGAUGCAGCAACGCCGCGUGCGGGAUGACGGCCUUCGGGUUGUAAACCGCUUUCGCCUGUGACGAAGCGUGAGUGACGGUAAUGGGUAAAGAAGCACCGGCUAACUACGUG
RNAcentral lists this ribosomal RNA (468 nucleotides) under uncultured bacterium. Its description in RNAcentral is "partial 16S ribosomal RNA". It matches the Rfam family "Bacterial small subunit ribosomal RNA", at positions 28 to 507 of the family's 1533-position model. The record is from RNAcentral.